Molecule: unclassified non-coding RNA, 258 nt
Filed under: plant metagenome
Description: partial contains small subunit ribosomal RNA and internal transcribed spacer 1
Source: RNAcentral
AAGUCGUAACAAGGUUUACCGUGAGGUGAGCCUGCGGAAGGAUCCAAUUCACGAAUGAGGGAGCCGGAGCCAUGUCGUGGGGCGAAAGCUCGCACGUGCCAGUAAGCGCCCGUAAACCUCCACCCUUGUGUAUUAUUCUUCUGUUGCUUUGGCAGGCCGCGACCCUCUGGGGGAGCGCUGGCUUCGGCUGGAGAGUGCCUGCCAGAGGACCAAACUCUGUAAUUUAAUGCCGUCUGAGUACUACGAAAAUAGUUAAAA